This 1245-nucleotide ribosomal RNA is filed under the name Triticum aestivum (bread wheat). RNAcentral's name for it is "partial small subunit ribosomal RNA". Lineage: Eukaryota; Viridiplantae; Streptophyta; Magnoliopsida; Poales; Poaceae. The record is from RNAcentral.
AUGUUGGCAAGGGCUGUGGCCGCAGAAGCCCGCGUCUCUUUCUUUGCAUGCAGUGGCAGUGAUUUCGAGGAGGUGUAUGUGGGUCUUGGGGCUAAGAGAGUGCGGGAGCUCUUCCGUGUAGCAAAGAAGCGAUCUCCUUGCAUAAUAUUCAUCGAUGAGAUUGACGCCGUUGCUGGGCGCAGACACGCAAUAGACCCGUCGUGGCAGAGGCAGACCAUGAACCAGCUGCUUUCUGAGAUGGAUGGCUUCAGGCAGAAUGAAGGGAUCAUUGUGAUCGCCGCGACAAACUUCCCAGAGUCGCUAGAUAAAGCCAUUGUCAGGCCUGGGCGUCUUGACCGUCAAAUCCAUGUUCCUAAUCCAGAUGUUGAGGGCCGGCGGCAGAUCCUUGAGGCUUACAUGUCAAAGGUGCGUAAAGCCGAGGGUGUGGAUGCGAUGACCAUUGCGAGGGGGACGCCCGGGUUCUCAGGUGCAGAUCUUGCAAACCUAGUGAAUGACGCCGCUCUCAAGGCUUCCAGGGAUGGGGCAGAUGCUGUUGGGAUGGAUCACCUCGAGUACGCCAAGGACAGGAUCAUCAUGGGCAGCGAACGCAAGUCAGCGGUGAUAUCUGAUCAUUCGAAGAAAAUGACUGCCUACCAUGAGGGAGGGCACACCCUUGUUGCUAUCCUCACGGACGGCGCUGACCCUGUCCACAAGGCCACAAUUAUGCCAAGGCGAAAUGCUCUCGGCAUGGUGACACAACUGCCAAGGGAAGACAGCGAGCUGGAACUCUCGAGGAAGCAGAUGCUGGCAAGGCUGGAUGGGCGGGUGGCCAAGGAGCUUAUAUUUGGAGAAACCGGGAUUACAACUGGUGCCUCAUCUGACCUGAGCAAGGCGACUAAAUUGGCGAAAGACAUGGUCACCAGAUAUGGCAUGAGCAAGCGGGUCGGCCUUGUUUCCUACAGCAACGACGGUGAUGGUGGUGAUGGCAAGACCACGGCCCUGGUUGAUGAGGAGGUGAAAGAUUUAUUGGAUAGCGCUUACAAGAAUGCGAAAAUGAUUCUCACGGAGCAUAACAAGGAGUUUCAUGCGCUAGCAAAUGCCCUCCUGAAGCAUGGAACUCUCACUGGCGACGAGAUCAUGAAACUAGUAUUGACAGAACAACAAGCAGAUGGUCGCAAGGUAACACCUUCUCUCACUGGCGACGAGAUCACGGAACCGGUGUCAACACAAGAACAAAUAGGCGAUGCUAAGAAUGGUCAGCAGUAA